ACUGCAAAGGAGCUAAGAAAUAAUGUCACUUUAGUCAUAAGGGCAACAUUAGUAGUUUGUGCAUAAUUCAAAACUGUUGUUUCAGCACUCCUCAAGGCUGCAAGAAAGAUUAAUUUUAGAGAUAUUUGAAGCCAAAUAGCCUGCAACUGAAAGAUUGGUGAUCUAGGCCUUGCAGCAAUCAUACAGGGUUCUCAAUCAGCACAUAAUGUCAUAGUAGCAUUUGUUAGGCACCCUAGAAUUCAUGGCACCAGAAUUAUACGAAUGGGAUUACAAUAAGCUUGUUGAUAUUUACUCAAUUUGGUAGGUGUGUUUUAGAGAUGCUUACAUCUGAAUACCUUUAUGGUGAAUGUGUUAACCCGGCACAAAUUUACAAGAAAGCGACUUCGGUAAAUCAUGAUGCCAAGAUUUAUAAUUAUUAUCAAGCUAGAGUAUGACAUUCAUACCAUUUCAGUUAUGCAGGGAAAGCUUUCUGCUGCAUUCUAUCAGAUUCAGGACUUAAAGAAGAGCGGCUUAUUGAUGCCUAUCAUACAUUCAACUACCAAGAAGAUGAUGGGACUAAUCAUCCUUUCAAUUCUUUCUCCUUUUGUUCAUUAUCUCAAGCAUCCA
Molecule: long non-coding RNA, 606 nt
Organism: Hevea brasiliensis (rubber tree)
Lineage: Eukaryota; Viridiplantae; Streptophyta; Magnoliopsida; Malpighiales; Euphorbiaceae
Exons: 3
Source: RefSeq, a predicted model, not a curated record